This is a long non-coding RNA of Bos taurus (domestic cattle), 1387 nucleotides long. The record is from Ensembl. NCBI's taxonomy places the organism in Eukaryota, Metazoa, Chordata, Mammalia, Artiodactyla, Bovidae.
CGGGGCCGCCUCGGUGCCCGUUUACUGCGCGCGGCAGCCACUCUGGAGCCGGCGCACAUCUGGAUGGAGUCAGGCCCAGCGCCCGGGCCGGCGCCCAGCCAGUCCCCACCCGCUGGAUUUCCUGAUGUAAACAGAGCAAGAACACAGCAACUCUGCUGAAUGUGUCACGCGGCGCUCUUUAUCUGCUUGGGGUCAAGACGGCGACUUAGAAAAACAGAAGCGUUGCUUUGAAUUUAAACAGCUAAGAGCCAGAGCCGAGACUGGUCUGCAGGGGGGAGGGCGAAGGCCUCCAGACCCACCUCCCGCUUUUGUGCCUACUUGUUCCACUUGAUGAGGAACUAAAAAGCCUCUUCAUGAAAGUGAAAGAGGAGAGUGAAAAAGUUGGCUUAAAGCUCAACAUUCAGAAAACUAAGAUCAUGGCAUCUGGUCCCAUCACUUCAUGAGAAAUAGAUGGGGAAACAGUGUCAGACUUUAUUUUUUUGGGCUCCAAAAUCACUGCAGAUGGUGAUUUCAGCCAUGAAAGUAAAAGACGCUUACUCCUUGGAAGGAAAGUUAUGACCAACCUAGACAGCAUGUUCAAAAGCAGAGACAUUGCUUUGCCAACAAAGGUCCAUCUAGUCAAGGCUAUGGUUUUUCCAGUGGUCAUGUAUGGAUGUGAGAGUUGGACUGUGAAGAAAGCUGAGUGCCGAAGAAUUGAUGCUUUUUAACUGUGGUGUUGGAGACACCUCUUUUGAGUCCCUUGGACUGCAAGGAGAUCCAACCAGUCCAUUCUGAAGGAGAUCAGCCCUGGGAUUUCUUUGGAAGGAAUGAUGCUAAAGCUGAAACUCCAGUCCUUUGGCCACCUGAUGCGAAGAGUUGACUCAUUGGAAAAGAGUCUGAUGCUGGGAGGGAUUGGGGGUGGUAGGAGAAGGGGACGACAGAGGAUGAGAUGGCUGGAUGGCAUCACCGACUCGAUGGACAUGAGUCUGGGUGAACUCCGGGAGUUGGUGAUGGACAGGGAGGCCUGGCGUGCUGCAAUUCAUGGGGUUGCAAAGAGUCGGACAUGACUGAGUGACUGAACUGAACUGAACUGAUGGUAGAAUAUAUUGAUUGAUUUUCAAAUACUGACUAGCCUUGCAUAUUUGGAAUAAUCCCAGUUGGUCACUUUGUAUUGUUCUUUCUAUACACUAUUGGAUUUAAUUUGCUGAUAUUUUCUGAGGAUUUUGUGUCUAGGUUCAUUAGUUAUAUUGAUUGAUAGACUUGUAUCACUGUCUUUGUCUAGUUUUGGUUUCAAGAUAGUACUGACAUCAGAAAAUGAGUUGGAAGUGUUUCUUCCUUUUUCAUUAUCUGGAAGAGAUUAUAUAAGAUUAGUUUUAAACUUUUCUCUUGUAAUUUUCUUUGAUCUGAA